Molecule: ribosomal RNA, 512 nt
Filed under: Shaogomphus postocularis
Lineage: Eukaryota; Metazoa; Arthropoda; Insecta; Odonata; Gomphidae
Description: partial 16S rRNA
Rfam family: Bacterial large subunit ribosomal RNA
Source: RNAcentral
GUCCUCUUGUUUAUAUAUGAGGUCUGACCUGCCCGGUGAAAAUUAAUUUUAACGGCCGCAGUAUUUUGACUGUGCAAAGGUAGCAUAAUCAUUAGUCUUUUAAUAGGGGGCUGGUAUGAAGGGUUUGACGAGGUGUUAACUGUCUCAUUUAAUUUGAAUUUAGAAUUUAACUUUUCAGUCAAAAGGCUGAAAUUAUAUUGGAAGACGAGAAGACCCUAUAGAGCUUUAUAAUUAAAUUUUUAAUUAUUUUUUGUUUAUUAUUUUUUAUUAUUACUUUAAUUAUUUUGUUGGGGUGACAAAAACAUAUGAUUAACUUUUUUAUUUAUUUAACAUUGAUUUAUGAAUAUUAGAUCCAUUAUUAUUGAUUGUUAGAUUAAGUUACCUUAGGGAUAACAGCGUAAUCUUCCUUCAGAGUUCAUAUUUACGGGAAGGCUUGCGACCUCGAUGUUGGAUUAAGAUAAUAGUUAGGUGUAGCCGCUUAAUACAUAGGUCUGUUCGACCUUUAAAUUCUU